This 82-nucleotide transfer RNA is filed under the name Sedimentibacter sp. Its description in RNAcentral is "tRNA-Leu". It matches the Rfam family "tRNA". Rfam says of the family: Transfer RNA (tRNA) molecules are approximately 80 nucleotides in length. Their secondary structure includes four short double-helical elements and three loops (D, anti-codon, and T loops). Lineage: Bacteria; Bacillati; Bacillota; Tissierellia. RNAcentral also lists the same sequence under 1 other name. The record is from RNAcentral.
GCGGAUAUGGCGGAAUUGGCAGACGCGCACGGUUCAGGUCCGUGUGGGGCAACUCGUGCAGGUUCAAAUCCUGUUAUCCGCA